Molecule: long non-coding RNA, 348 nt
Filed under: Gallus gallus (chicken)
Lineage: Eukaryota; Metazoa; Chordata; Aves; Galliformes; Phasianidae
Description: lncRNA (ENSGALG00010007083.1)
Source: RNAcentral
CCUAGAUCAUGGAAAGUACAUGCUGAAGUAAUCCUAAAAUGUCCUUCCAAAUCCAAAAUGUGGGUUUCAGUGAAAGGGGAGAGAGGUGCAGAAACAGUGAAAAGAAAAUAGCAGGAGACCUUCUACAUGUAGCAUGUGGAGCAGAGUCAAGGCAGCUCCACAGACUGAAAGUCUUUCUCUGCAACUGAAGAUCUAAAAAGCUAGCACCUGACUACAAAGUUAAAGGUAGUUUUCCUUAUGUUUUACCACAAGUAAAUCAAGAAAUCUGGAUCUGGGUCUGAACUCUAGCUUUAAACUUGCCCAGAAGAGUAUUACUACACCCAUAGUUGUUGAUGUACUUCCCUGGAU